AUUGAACGCUGGCGGCAGGCCUAACACAUGCAAGUCGAACGGUAACAGGAAGCAGCUUGCUGCUUUGCUGACGAGUGGCGGACGGGUGAGUAAUGUCUGGGAAACUGUCUGAUGGAGGGGGAUAACUACUGGAAACGGUAGCUAAUACCGCAUAACGUCGCAAGACCAAAGAGGGGGACCUUAGGGCCUCUUGCCAUCGGAUGUGCCCAGAUGGGAUUAGCUAGUAGGUGGGGUAACGGCUCACCUAGGCGACGAUCCCUAGCUGGUCUGAGAGGAUGACCAGCCACACUGGAACUGAGACACGGUCCAGACUCCUACGGGAGGCAGCAGUGGGGAAUAUUGGACAAUGGGCGCAAGCCUGAUGCAGCCAUGCCGCGUGUAUGAAGAAGGCCUUCGGGUUGUAAAGUACUUUCAGCGGGGAGGAAGGGAGUAAAGUUAAUACCUUUGCUCAUUGACGUUACCCGCAGAAGAAGCACCGGCUAACUCCGUG
RNAcentral lists this ribosomal RNA (490 nucleotides) under uncultured bacterium. RNAcentral describes it as "partial 16S ribosomal RNA". It matches the Rfam family "Bacterial small subunit ribosomal RNA", at positions 30 to 507 of the family's 1533-position model. The record is from RNAcentral.